GACGAGCUAUCCUCAUUCUACUUCCAACUCUCGGACCAAUCGUUUCGGCUUUCCAAAUUCUAAAUUUCAAAUUCUAAAACAAAAUUUCAAGAUGCCUUGCUGCCCUCCUUCCUGCUGCGGACCCUGCAAUAACGUGCCCUGCUGUGGCCCGCACAGUCCGCCCUGCGGUGCUCCGUCUCCCAUUCCAUGCUCCCCCGCGCCGGGCAUGUGCUGCCCACCUUUGCCCGAGGGCGGGAUCCCCGAUCCCCGUGUCUGGAACUACUACAACACACCCGUUACUUAUCCAUGUGGCUUUUAAGUGGAUCAGGCAGUCGAGCGGUGUCACAGUGCUUCCGUGCCAUGUCCUUGCAGAGAUAGUGUGAAUACGUUGCCCGAGCAAGCAAUUGUCCUUCAGCUUGAACCAGUCAGCAGUCUGAAUCCGAAUUUUGCUAGGAUUUGGUAACAACGAAGAGCAGGAGGUAGUAACUGGCGGAAUCCAGUUUAAAAAAUCAAAGCAGCUUGGCAUGGAAUUGUUAUUAGAUAUCUGGAAGUUUUUGACGAAUAAAUUAUAGAAAAUA
RNAcentral lists this small RNA (557 nucleotides) under Drosophila ananassae. RNAcentral describes it as "GF27699". Lineage: Eukaryota; Metazoa; Arthropoda; Insecta; Diptera; Drosophilidae. The record is from RNAcentral.